RNAcentral lists this ribosomal RNA (425 nucleotides) under uncultured bacterium. RNAcentral's name for it is "partial 16S ribosomal RNA". It matches the Rfam family "Bacterial small subunit ribosomal RNA", at positions 354 to 796 of the family's 1533-position model. The record is from RNAcentral.
GUGGGGAAUAUUGGACAAUGGGCGCAAGCCUGAUCCAGCAAUGCCGCGUGGGUGAAGAAGGUCUUCGGAUCGUAAAGCCCUUUCGACAGGGACGAUGAUGACGGUACCUGUAGAAGAAGCCCCGGCUAACUUCGUGCCAGCAGCCGCGGUAAUACGAAGGGGGCUAGCGUUACUCGGAAUUACUGGGCGUAAAGGGCGCGUAGGCGGCUCUGUUAGUCAGGCGUGAAAUUCCUGGGCUUAACCUGGGGACGGCGCUUGAUACUGCAGGGCUUGAGGCCGAGAGAGGGUGGUGGAAUUCCCAGUGUAGAGGUGAAAUUCGUAGAUAUUGGGAAGAACACCGGUGGCGAAGGCGACCACCUGGCUCGGUUCUGACGCUGAGGCGCGACAGCGUGGGGAGCAAACAGGAUUAGAAACCCGUGUAGUCC